UUCUGACCCGUAAAACGAUCGCCAACUAGCGAUCCGCCGGUGGUAAUUACGCCCCGGCGGGGAGCUUCCCGGAAACGAAAGUCUUCCGGUUCCGGGGGAAGUAUGGUUGCAAAGCUGAAACUUAAAGGAAUUGACGGAAGGGCACCACCAGGAGUGGAGCUUGCGGCUUAAUUUGACUCAACACGGGGAAACUCACCCGGCCCGGACACCGUAAGGAUUGACAGAUUGAGAGCUCUUUCUUGAUUCGGUGGUUGGUGGUGCAUGGCCGUUCUUAGUUGGUGGAGCGAUUUGUCUGGUUUAUUCCGAUAACGAACGAGACUCUGGCCUACUAACUAGUGACAGGAUUAUUGCUGUCCUGGUUACUUCUUAGAGGGACAAGUGGUGUUCAGCCACACGAAAUUGAGCAAUAACAGGUCUGUGAUGCCCUUAGAUGUCCGGGGCUGCACGCGUGCUACACUGGAGGAAACAGCAUGCAAAACCAUUGCCGAGAGGCAUUGGUAAACCCGAGAAAAUCUUCCGUGAUCGGGAUCGGGAAUUGCAAUUAUUUCCCUUGAACGAGGAAUUCCCAGUAAGUGUGGGUCAUCAGCUCGCGUUG
Molecule: ribosomal RNA, 595 nt
Filed under: Plectidae sp. NK-2011a
Lineage: Eukaryota; Metazoa; Nematoda; Chromadorea; Plectida; Plectidae
Description: SSU rRNA
Rfam family: Eukaryotic small subunit ribosomal RNA
Source: RNAcentral